Molecule: non-coding RNA, 2152 nt
Organism: Lolium perenne
Lineage: Eukaryota; Viridiplantae; Streptophyta; Magnoliopsida; Poales; Poaceae
Source: RefSeq, a predicted model, not a curated record
UUACCCUUCCGGCUUGGCCUGGGCAAGGUUAUGGACGCCACUUGGUUAUCUUCAGGACUCUUAGUCCAAUUUGUAUCUUGUCCGUACUCGGAUGUAUUUGAUCUUAUGUAUGAUUUGGAUCUUUGUACUGUAUAUCUGUAUCUUGACUCGUUGGAGUCGUUGUUGUAAUAUAUCUGUUUCUUGUGGGCUCUAUUGUAAUCCUGUUGUAAUGUUACCGCUCGUGAUUGAUUCCACCCGCAUCGCGUGCAUGCUUCGGCGUGUACGAGGCGCUUGGUGGUGCGUCUCCUAGAAUCGAUAUCGUGCGGAUUUCGGCGUAUUCGCUGGGAUCCUCAUGGUACCGGUUUUUGGGGCGUCACAAGUUGGUAUCAGAGCAUCAGGUUGACGGUACCCCACUAGUCCAGCCUUUAGGAUAACCUUGCCAACGGUCGUUAAGUUUAGAGAGUCCAAACUAUUUUUUGAAAACUCGUUGGAUAGAUCUGAUUAGCUCUGAUUUUUCUCCUUGUCUAUAAUCUUUCUCCUCUUACCUUUGCCGAGUUUUGAAUCUUCCCUUAUCUGUUUCUCUGAGUCUUAGGCUUCUACGUGGGUUGGGCGAUCUUUGCCCUCACCUAUUAGGUCCGAUCUUCGAAGGAUCCCGACGGAAGCACAUCAUCAACAGUGGAACAACGACUCCUUGUUAGUGGUGUCGACCGAUCAAGCUGGAGCAAGACUUCUUGUUAGUGGUGUCGCGACGAUCUACACGAUGCAUGAAGACCCGAUAGUUUAACCAACUCCCCCUUAGGUUGACGUGGAACCUCGGGGCGAGGUUCCUUGUUAGUGGUGUCGAUUGUAGCGGCCCAGGAUAAUACCCCUAUUAGAUUUUGUUUGUGCAUUUUCUUUUAUGCAUCAUCAUGGCAUAUGCAUCAUAUCAUCCAUGCUUUAAUAAAUAAAAUUAUUUUAUAAAGCCAAACUAUUUUGUUUCUCUCUCUCCACCUCUGCAUUCAAAAUUCAAAUUUGCUUGAACUAUUUUUAAACCAGUUUACAAAACAGUUUUGAAAAGAAAAGAGAAAGAGUUUUUAAAACAAAACCCUCCCCCCUCUAACCAGGCCUCUCUCUGGACCCUCUCUAUCCGGCGGCCCAAUCCCUUUCCCCCUCCUGGCCUGCUUCGUCCUUCCAUCGCUCAGCCCACCUACCUUCUCUUCCUCUGGCCCAACCAAACCCAUCAGACCGAAGGGGUAGGCACCUUUUUCCUGGUUGUCGUCUUCUUCGAAGGUAAGCACGCCGAUGGAGUGAUGGUGCGGUCCUCCACCGCGCCAACCACCGCGCCCUGCUUCCCCCUCCCCUUUUAAUUCCCUUCUGCGCGUCCCCCUGGAAACCCUAGCCUCUCUUCCCAUCCACACCGCCGCCACCUACCUUCCUCCACCUUUCCCUUUCUCUUCUCUGUGAGCAAAACUCCACACCACCGCCUCCACCUCGCCAUGGCGCCGCUGCUACCGGCCACCCCUUGACGAACCGAAGACACCAGGAGAACCGCCUCGUCGAGCUCUACGUCGUGGUGCAAGGAAUCGAGUCAAUACCCCGUAAAUCGAGCGCAAGGUCGUCGUUUCUCCUCCAUGGCUGUCAUGCUCCGGCCACAAUUCUGCCCACUACGGCGAGUCCCUGGACUCUGUAUCGCCACCAUCAGGUUCCUCGUGUGCUGGCGCAUCCCCGACGCUAUCUGCCUCGUCCCGGUUUGCAAGGAACUCGCAGAUCCUUGGUUGUCCUGCUCCUCCGCCAUGGCUGCAGGUUCCAAGCUCGUCCCCGCCUUUCUCUGGUUGAUAAUCUACGCGCACCACAUGUUCAACAAGAUCUGCAGCUAGCCUAUCUGAUCCCCACGCAGAUGGGCCUCGGCCCAGAUCUUCUCUGCAGCCCGUUGCCCCGCGCGCCCAGGAACAACCCGUCGCCGACGCAGGCCUAGUUCUGGCCCAUGUCACGGCAGAUCCCCACGCAGAUGGGCCUCGGCCCAGAUCUUCUCUGCAGCCCGUUGCCCCGCGCGCCCAGGAACAACCCGUCGCCGACGCAGGCCUAGUUCUGGCCCAUGUCACGGCAGCAUUUGCUUCUUCCCGGAUAGGAUCGUGAAGUGGUGUUGUGAGAUAUGACAAGUUCUCCAGAUGUCCCUCGGCAAGCUUUAACAGGC